Molecule: long non-coding RNA, 1918 nt
Organism: Chelonia mydas (Green sea turtle)
Lineage: Eukaryota; Metazoa; Chordata; Testudines; Cheloniidae
Exons: 2
Source: RefSeq, a predicted model, not a curated record
GAAAUAUAGCUGUGACUGCUAGUGUUAGGAAAGCGUUAACCGCAAAAGAACAAACAGUGAAUAACAGGAAAAAGCUUAUUUUGAUGUAUUCCUAAUAAGGAAAAUGUUAAUAAGGAAGUGUGUGUAAUUGAUUAUGGUUUUAAGCUAUAUAAGCUUUUGUAUUCCCUUUCGGGGGGGUCGGCAGCUUGGCUGUCGUUCCCCUGCAUGCUUGUAAUAAAGUGGGCUUCAGGCUGUUCUGAUCCAAACACAACACGUGGUAAUUUUUUCCACAACAAUUAAAUGGUGCUGUGAUUCGGAUAGACAGCCGACCCCCAGAACCAGAGGACCACGAGCAGCUCCCCGCCAGACCCAGGGCUCAUCUGAAAGGUAAGAGACCUUUUGAAAUCUCUAUUGUGGGUUUCUGAUGGAGGAUUUCCCACAGGCUCUGGGUUCGGGUGAGUUGCAUGCUCUAUUUGGACUUUUUGCUGCCAGACAUGCCUGAUGCCCUUCUGGUUCUGGUUUCCCUGGGAAGAGCCACUGGGAAUGGCUGAGUCUCUUUAUACACAGGUAAAAGAAGCACUAUCUAAGAAUCCUGAGCAUCCCUGCCACUCACUGGGGCCAAAAGACUGGGUCUAUAUAAAGGUCCAUCAGUGAAUGACCACCCUGGCCCUGCGCUGGAGAGGCCCUUACCAAGUCCUGUUAAUUACCAACACAGCUGUGUGGUGCCAGGGACUGAUUGCCAUCCCUCCACCUCGGGAUAAUCCUCCGACUGAUGCUGCUGUUCCUUCUGGACAGCAGGAGAAAAGAACAAGGUGAAGUGCUAGUAACCUCUCCCUUAUCCACUGACAGAACUACUGUGCAUUUGGACUUUGCUAGAAGAAGCAAACCAUUACAGGGUGAUGUGCUGGUAACCUCUCCCCUGAAUAAUGCUAAACCACGGCUGUUCCAAGAAAGAAGAAGGAACACUCGCUCUGCUGAAAUCACCAAAGUCCUAGGGAUUCCUGACUACAAAAGACAUUAAGAAUUGGCCCUGGUGGAAAAGACGAAGUAUUGUUAAUUGGCAGGGAGGGAAUUGUGGGGACCGCACUUGGAAAUGUGGAGUUGAGUGGUGGGGUGGGUUUUUUCUGGGGGGUGGGCUCUGUGCUUACGGACAAGUACCAUCAAAAUGCACUGCCAUCCCUAAUUGGCUCCGGAGGAUGAAUACCAAAAACACCUUGCUGCCACAGACAUUACUCCCACCAUUCCCUCCACCUCUGUCACCAUCCCUUAAAUUUACCCGAAUACAGAUAAUACUGUGUAUUCUAAUGAAACCCAAUGGCCCAGGCCUUCACAUCUUAGUGAUUUACUAAAAUUUUGUUCAGAAAUUUUUUUUUAAGUUCAAAAUACUUCAUAUAAGCGAACAAUUAAGUAAAAAACAAAUGCGUCGGUGAAAAUAGAAAUAUAUAAUAUUACUACAAAUGAGCCCCAGGAAUCAGAAAUUAAGAUUAAUGGGUUCUAUGACAGGGUAGAUAUGAUGGCUGCUCCUGAACUCUGCAUAUGUUGGAUGAAGUAGGCCCUUACUGUUAUUUGAUCACCCAACUAGUAAAUAAUCAAACGUAUACUCAAAGAACUUGCUCUGCCAUGGAAAAAUAUAUCUGUAUUAAAAUUAUCCCAGUAACUGAUAAUUUAACCCGCGCCAUAUUGCAACAUACCACUUCCUAUGCACUUGAUGCUGCUGCCUCCCAGAAGCACUUGCAAGUAACUAACCAACAAUUGUGGUACAGCCCUUCACAGAGAAAGGAUGGGUUAGAAUGUCAAUGGACCGUGAUUAAUGCUAUACUAGGAAAUGUCACGUUCACAUUGCCCUUUUAUCCAGUUUUCAAGUCACCUCUAUAUAUCCAAAUUGCUCAAAAGGGGCUGCUAUUAGGUUAGCUCAGCAAAGGGCCUGGGUUGCCUCUAG